RNAcentral lists this ribosomal RNA (240 nucleotides) under uncultured bacterium. RNAcentral's name for it is "partial 16S ribosomal RNA". It matches the Rfam family "Bacterial small subunit ribosomal RNA", at positions 96 to 334 of the family's 1533-position model. The record is from RNAcentral.
UGGCGAACGGGUGAGUAACACGUGACUAACCUACCCUCGAGUGGGGGGAUAACCUCGGGAAACCGGGGCUAAAACCGCAUAAUACCGUCAGGGGAAGCUCCUGACGAUCAAAUGCGCAAGCAACUUGAGGAGGGGGUCGCGGCUGAUUAGCUAGUUGGCGGGGUAACGGCCCACCAAGGCAAUGAUCAGUAGCCGGCCUGAGAGGGCGCACGGCCACACUGGAACUGAAACACGGUCCAG